Molecule: ribosomal RNA, 1059 nt
Filed under: uncultured Cryobacterium sp.
Lineage: Bacteria; Bacillati; Actinomycetota; Actinomycetes; Micrococcales; Microbacteriaceae
Description: bacterial SSU rRNA
Rfam family: Bacterial small subunit ribosomal RNA
Source: RNAcentral
UCCUACGGGAGGCAGCAGUGGGGAAUAUUGCACAAUGGGCGCAAGCCUGAUGCAGCAACGCCCCGUGAGGGACGAAGGCCUUCGGGUUGUAAACCUCUUUUAGUAGGGAAGAAGCGACUGGGUUUUCCUGGGAGUGACGGUACCUGCAGAAAAAGCACCGGCUAACUACGUGCCAGCAGCCGCGGUAAUACGUAGGGUGCAAGCGUUGUCCGGAAUUAUUGGGCGUAAAGAGCUCGUAGGCGGUUUGUCGCGUCUGCUGUGAAAACCCGAGGCUCAACCUCGGGCCUGCAGUGGGUACGGGCAGACUAGAGUGCGGUAGGGGAGAUUGGAAUUCCUGGUGUAGCGGUGGAAUGCGCAGAUAUCAGGAGGAACACCAAUGGCGAAGGCAGAUCUCUGGGCCGUAACUGACGCUGAGGAGCGAAAGCAUGGGGAGCGAACAGGAUUAGAUACCCUGGUAGUCCAUGCCGUAAACGUUGGGAACUAGAUGUGGGGACCAUUCCACGGUCUCCGUGUCGCAGCUAACGCAUUAAGUUCCCCGCCUGGGGAGUACGGCCGCAAGGCUAAAACUCAAAGGAAUUGACGGGGGCCCGCACAAGCGGCGGAGCAUGCGGAUUAAUUCGAUGCAACGCGAAGAACCUUACCAAGGCUUGACAUAUACCGGAAACGGCUGGAAACAGUCGCCCCGCAAGGUCGGUAUACAGGUGGCGCAUGGUUGUCGUCAGCUCGUGUCGUGAGAUGUUGGGUUAAGUCCCGCAACGAGCGCAACCCUCGUCCUAUGUUGCCAGCACGUAAUGGUGGGAACUCAUGGGAUACUGCCGGGGUCAACUCGGAGGAAGGUGGGGAUGACGUCAAAUCAUCAUGCCCCUUAUGUCUUGGGCUUCACGCAUGCUACAAUGGCCGGUACAAAGGGCUGCGAUACCGCAAGGUGGAGCGAAUCCCAAAAAGCCGGUCUCAGUUCGGAUUGAGGUCUGCAACUCGACCUCAUGAAGUCGGAGUCGCUAGUAAUCGCAGAUCAGCAACGCUGCGGUGAAUACGUUCCCGGGCCUUGUACACACCGCC